RNAcentral lists this non-coding RNA (45 nucleotides) under Schistosoma curassoni. The record is from RNAcentral. Lineage: Eukaryota; Metazoa; Platyhelminthes; Trematoda; Strigeidida; Schistosomatidae.
AUCCAGCUGACGAGUCCCAAAAAGGAUGAAUUGCACAUCUUGGAU